Molecule: ribosomal RNA, 155 nt
Filed under: uncultured bacterium
Lineage: Bacteria
Description: partial 16S ribosomal RNA
Rfam family: Bacterial small subunit ribosomal RNA
Source: RNAcentral
CGGAUCAGCAUGCCGCGGUGAAUACGUUCCCGGGCCUUGUACACACCGCCCGUCACACCAUGGGAGCCGGUAAUACCCGAAGUCAGUAGUCCAACCUCGUGAGGACGCUGCCGAAGGUAGGAUUGGCGACUGGGGUGAAGUCGUAACAAGGUACC